RNAcentral lists this ribosomal RNA (402 nucleotides) under uncultured bacterium. Its description in RNAcentral is "bacterial SSU rRNA". It matches the Rfam family "Bacterial small subunit ribosomal RNA", at positions 355 to 774 of the family's 1533-position model. The record is from RNAcentral.
UGGGGAAUAUUGGACAAUGGGCGCAAGCCUGAUCCAGCCAUGCCGCGUGAGUGAUGAAGGCCUUAGGGUUGUAAAGCUCUUUUAUCCGGGACGAUAAUGACGGUACCGGAAGAAUAAGCAUCGGCUAACUUCGUGCCAGCAGCCGCGGUAAGACGAAGGAUGCAAGCGUUAUCCGGAUUCAUUGGGUUUAAAGGGUGCGUAGGCGGGCUUGUAAGUCAGUGGUGAAAUCUCUCAGCUUAACUGAGAAACUGCCAUUGAUACUGCAGGCCUAGAGUAUAGAUGACGUUGGCGGAAUAUGACAUGUAGUGGUGAAAUACUUAGAUAUGUCAUAGAACACCGAUUGCGAAGGCAGCUAACGAAACUAUAACUGACGCUGAGGCACGAAAGUGCGGGGAUCAAACA